ACCCGCUGAACUUAAGCAUAUCAAUAAGCGGAGGAAAAGAAACCAACAGGGAUUGCCUUAGUAACGGCGAGUGAAGCGGCAACAGCUCAAAUUUGAAAUCUGGUCCUUCCGGGGCCCGAGUUGUAAUUUGUAGAGGAUGUUUCGGGCGCGGCGCCGGUCUAAGUCCCUUGGAACGGGGCGUCAUAGAGGGUGAGAAUCCCGUAUGCGACCGGUGACUAAGCCCAUGUGAAACUCCUUCGACGAGUCGAGUUGUUUGGGAAUGCAGCUCAAAAUGGGUGGUAAAUUUCAUCUAAAGCUAAAUACCGGCCAGAGACCGAUAGCGCACAAGUAGAGUGAUCGAAAGAUGAAAAGCACUUUGGAAAGAGAGUCAAAAAGUACGUGAAAUUGUUGAAAGGGAAGCGCUUGCAACCAGACCUGCCCGCGGGCGAUCAACCGUCCUUCUGGGCGGUGCACUCGCCCGCGAUCAGGCCAGCAUCGGCUCGGGCGGCCGGAUAAAGGCCCUGGGAAUGUAGCUCCUUUCGGGGAGUGUUAUAGCCCAAGGCGCAAUGCGGCCAGCCCGGACCGAGGACCGCGCUUCGGCAAGGAUGCUGGCGUAAUGGUUGUAAGCGGCCCGUCUUGAAACACGGACCAAGGAGUCUAACAUCUAUGCGAGUGUUUGGGUGGAA
This 665-nucleotide ribosomal RNA is filed under the name Cinnabaria boliviana. RNAcentral describes it as "partial large subunit ribosomal RNA". It matches the Rfam family "Eukaryotic large subunit ribosomal RNA", at positions 23 to 704 of the family's 3401-position model. The record is from RNAcentral. Lineage: Eukaryota; Fungi; Ascomycota; Lecanoromycetes; Teloschistales; Teloschistaceae.